RNAcentral lists this small RNA (79 nucleotides) under Methylobacterium pseudosasicola. Its description in RNAcentral is "suhB". It matches the Rfam family "Makes More Granules Regulator RNA (mmgR)". Rfam says of the family: SuhB later renamed mmgR (makes more granules regulator) was a putative non-coding RNA found multiple times in the Agrobacterium tumefaciens genome and related alpha-proteobacteria. Other non-coding RNAs uncovered in the same analysis include: speF, ybhL, metA, and serC. Lineage: Bacteria; Pseudomonadati; Pseudomonadota; Alphaproteobacteria; Hyphomicrobiales; Methylobacteriaceae. The record is from RNAcentral.
UGUGUUCGCCCAUGGCGGGCGUUUCCUCCCUUUGACUGAGGCCCUGUCCGAGCGCGGACGGGGCCUUUUUUCGCGUCGG